This 230-nucleotide long non-coding RNA is filed under the name Phoenix dactylifera (date palm). Its description in RNAcentral is "long non-coding RNA (PDAC_LNC006928)". The record is from RNAcentral. Lineage: Eukaryota; Viridiplantae; Streptophyta; Magnoliopsida; Arecales; Arecaceae.
GCCCUGUAUUGGGAAAGCAAAAUAUUCUAGACAGUAGGGCUUCGGUUACAACCACUUAAACAUCCUUGACCCAUCCCACCAAGGCACCGUCUCCCCUUACUACGGUGCUGAAAAAUUUCCUAACUAGGCUUGGGUAUGUAGGGACGUUCAGUGAGCAGAGAAGUUCUAGACCUAGGGCUUUUAGAUGAUUUCCUAGGCUAAAUUCCUCGCGAGAAAGGAAGUGGAAAUCA